UACGUAGGGUGCAAGCGUUGUCCGGAAUUACUGGGCGUAAAGCGCGCGCAGGCGGCGGUGCUGGCCCGGCGUGAAAGCCCCCGGCUCAACCGGGGAGGGUCGUCGGGGACCGCACCGCUUGAGGGCGGUAGGGGCUGGUGGAAUGCCUGGUGUAGUGGUGAAAUGCGUAGAGAUCAGGCGGAACACCCGUGGCGAAGGCGGCCAGCUGGGCCGUCCCUGACGCUGAGGCGCGAAGGCGUGGGGAGCGAACGGG
RNAcentral lists this ribosomal RNA (253 nucleotides) under uncultured bacterium. RNAcentral's name for it is "partial 16S ribosomal RNA". It matches the Rfam family "Bacterial small subunit ribosomal RNA", at positions 524 to 776 of the family's 1533-position model. The record is from RNAcentral.